RNAcentral lists this transfer RNA (82 nucleotides) under Homo sapiens (human). RNAcentral describes it as "tRNA-Leu-AAG-7-1". Lineage: Eukaryota; Metazoa; Chordata; Mammalia; Primates; Hominidae. The record is from RNAcentral.
GAUAGCAAGGCCGAGCGGUCUAAGGCUCCGGAUUAAGGCGCCGGUGUCUUCGGAGGCAUGGGUUCGAAUUCCACCUCUGCCA